RNA transcript from Hipposideros armiger (great roundleaf bat), 6596 nucleotides. It is a transcript of the gene named ELKS/RAB6-interacting/CAST family member 2, with no coding region annotated. The transcript is spliced from 22 exons. NCBI's taxonomy places the organism in Eukaryota, Metazoa, Chordata, Mammalia, Chiroptera, Hipposideridae. The record is from RefSeq and is a predicted model, not a curated record.
CCCCUCGGCCGUCAGUCCCGCCCGGCCCCGCGCCGGGCCUCGGCUCUCAGAGAGGUGCCCUCCCUUCUUCCCUCCCUCCCUUCCCGCCGGGCUCCUCCUCCUCCCGCUCCGGCUCGCUCGCGCUCCGGCGCCGGCUCCGGCUCCUCCCGGCCGCCCGGGGCCAAGGCGACGUGAGGUUGUAAAAAUCCAUGUGGGACGGCCCCGGGGCGAGCAUCGGAAAGAUCUCUGAUUGGAGUCACUUCCCGGUUGAGUAUGAAAAGAAUGCAGUGAAAAUUCUGGCCAGCAGUGGAAAUAUUGGCUUAUUCUCCAACUUAGUAUAGUAUUUCUUAUCUUAAGUAGCACCUCGUAAUAAAAGAAAAAUGUAUGGAAGUGCAAGAACAAUCACCAAUCUGGAAGGGAGCCCUUCCAGAUCUCCUCGUUUGCCAAGAUCUCCUCGUUUGGGCCAUCGAAGAACAAGUAGUGGGGGAGGUGGGGGCACGGGCAAGACUCUGUCCAUGGAGAAUAUUCAGUCUCUUAAUGCAGCCUAUGCUACAUCUGGGCCCAUGUAUCUGAGUGAUCAUGAGGGAGUGGCUUCGACAACUUACCCAAAGGGCACCAUGACUCUGGGGAGGGCCACAAAUAGAGCUGUAUAUGGAGGCCGAGUCACAGCCAUGGGGAGUAGUCCCAAUAUUGCUUCUGCUGGACUUUCCCACACAGAUGUCCUUUCUUACACAGAUCAACAUGGUGGUCUGACCAGCUCAUCCCAUCAUCACCACCAUCAAGUCCCCUCCAUGUUGAGGCAGGUUAGGGAUAGCACAAUGUUAGACCUUCAAGCCCAGCUCAAGGAACUUCAGAGAGAAAAUGACCUCCUUCGGAAAGAGCUAGACAUCAAGGACAGCAAACUGGGAUCUUCCAUGAAUAGUAUCAAAACCUUCUGGAGUCCUGAGCUCAAGAAGGAAAGAGUCUUGAGGAAAGAAGAGGCAGCUCGGAUGUCUGUCCUCAAGGAGCAGAUGAGGGUUUCCCAUGAAGAAAAUCAGCUACUGGAUGCCAGAAGGACCAAGCACCUGCAGUUGACAAUCCAGGCCCUUCAGGAUGAGCUGCGCACCCAGAGAGACCUCAACCACCUUCUACAGCAGGAGAGCGGCAACCGGGGAGCUGAGCACUUCACCAUUGAGCUGACGGAGGAGAACUUCCGGCGGCUGCAAGCGGAGCAUGACAGGCAGGCGAAGGAGCUCUUCCUGCUGAGGAAGACCUUGGAGGAAAUGGAGCUGAGAAUCGAAACGCAGAAGCAGACCCUGAAUGCUCGGGACGAAUCGAUUAAAAAGCUCCUGGAGAUGUUGCAAAGUAAAGGGUUGCCGUCCAAAAGCCUCGAGGAUGACAAUGAACGGACGCGGCGGAUGGCAGAGGCUGAGUCUCAAGUCAGCCACUUGGAAGUGAUUUUAGACCAGAAAGAGAAGGAAAACAUACAUCUCAGAGAGGAAUUGCACCGAAGAAGCCAACUUCAGCAGGAGCCAGCCAAGACGAAGGCGCUCCAGACUGUCAUUGAAAUGAAGGACACAAAAAUUGCUUCAUUGGAGCGAAACAUAAGGGACCUGGAGGAUGAGAUCCAGAUGUUAAAAGCCAAUGGUGUGCUGAACACUGAGGACCGUGAAGAAGAGAUCAAACAAAUAGAGGUUUACAAAAGUCACUCCAAGUUCAUGAAAACCAAGAUUGAUCAGCUGAAGCAGGAACUAUCGAAGAAGGAGUCAGAACUUCUUGCCUUACAAACAAAGCUUGAAACCCUUAGCAAUCAAAAUUCAGAUUGCAAGCAACACAUCGAAGUGCUUAAAGAGUCGCUUACUGCCAAAGAACAGAGGGCUGCCAUACUUCAGACCGAGGUAGAUGCGCUGAGAUUACGACUAGAAGAGAAAGAAUCUUUUCUCAAUAAAAAAACAAAACAGCUGCAGGACCUCACAGAAGAGAAGGGGACACUGGCUGGAGAGAUUCGUGACAUGAAGGAUAUGUUAGAAGUGAAGGAACGAAAAAUCAACGUUCUUCAGAAAAAGAUUGAAAACUUGCAAGAACAACUUAGGGAUAAAGACAAGCAACUGACCAACCUGAAAGACAGAGUGAAGUCCUUGCAGACAGAUUCCAGUAAUACUGACACUGCCCUGGCGACGCUUGAGGAGGCUUUGUCAGAGAAGGAAAGAAUAAUUGAGCGUUUGAAAGAACAGCGGGAGAGGGAUGAUCGGGAAAGACUAGAAGAGAUAGAAUCCUUCCGAAAAGAGAACAAAGACCUGAAAGAGAAGGUCAAUGCUUUACAAGCUGAACUGACUGAAAAAGAGUCUAGUUUAAUUGACCUCAAGGAACAUGCAUCUUCAUUAGCCUCAGCAGGGCUGAAAAGGGACUCCAAAUUAAAAUCUCUAGAAAUAGCCAUUGAACAAAAGAAAGAAGAAUGUAGCAAAUUGGAAGCACAGUUAAAAAAGCAAGCUGAGCAGUUGUUCAAUCAGAUGUACAACCCAGCUCAUAAUAUUGAAGAUGACUCCAGGAUGAACCCCGAGUUUGCAGACCGAAUAAAACAGCUCGAUAAGGAGGCAUCUUACUACCGCGAUGAGUGUGGCAAGGCCCAAGCAGAAGUUGACCGGUUGCUGGAGAUCCUCAAGGAGGUGGAAAAUGAGAAGAAUGACAAGGACAAGAAGAUCGCGGAACUUGAGAGCUUGACUCUCAGGCAUAUGAAGGAUCAGAAUAAGAAGGUGGCCAACCUCAAGCACAAUCAACAGUUGGAAAAGAAGAAGAAUGCUCAGUUACUGGAAGAAGUCCGCAGGCGGGAAGACAGCAUGGCCGACAACUCACAGCACUUGCAGAUAGAGGAGCUGAUGAAUGCCCUGGAGAAGACCAGACAGGAACUGGACACCACCAAGGCACGCCUCGCUUCCACACAGCAGUCGCUGGCUGAAAAGGAAGCACACUUGGCCAACCUCCGAAUAGAAAGGAGGAAACAGCUAGAGGAGAUCCUGGAGAUGAAACAAGAAGCACUGCUUGCGGCUAUCAGUGAAAAAGAUGCAAACAUUGCCUUGCUGGAAUUGUCUGCCUCCAAAAAGAAAAAGACGCAGGAAGAAGUCAUGGCCCUCAAACGGGAAAAAGAUCGACUAGUGCACCAGUUAAAGCAGCAGGUUUAUAGACCUAGGAAACAGCCCCUGAGCUCGAAUAUACCAUGCACUUGUGAUGCUUGCUACAGCCCAGAUAUUACGGCCAAGUACCACGGGUCCAGCUACGAUGCAUACAUGAUCCAAAGGUCUCAGACCCAGAACAGAAUGAAGCUAAUAGCGGACAACUACGAUGAGGACCACCACCAUUACCACCACCACCACCACCACCACCACCGAUCUCCUGGGAGGUCGCAACAUUCCAAUCACAGGCCCUCUCCCGACCAGGAUGACGAGGAGGGCAUAUGGGCAUAGCCGGGCCUGUAAACCAAAGUUCCAGUUUUGUUUUGAGGGAUGACCCAGCUCUGUUGGAGGCACGGAGGCACAGUCCAAUCUCAUGCUGUACACUGAUCACCUGUCCAACCUUUGCCUAGAGUGGGAGCCCCCAGUUCCUUCAAGAGAUCCAACUUUACCUGUCUGUAAAGAAGAAGAGGAGGAGGGAGACAGCGGGAGGAUCCGGUGGCAGUGUAACGCCAGAGCAGCUAUCUGAAGGGCUGACUAAAAGGAAAAUGCAGCUCUGCAGCAAUAUUCUGAUAAUCUAUUGCAGUACGGCGUACAUCACUGUCCAUCACCACCUGGGAUGCUCAUCAGGACUGAAGAGGAGUCUCACUUUCAUUACUGAAUACGAUUCUGUUCGACUUGGUAUUUCCUUCGUCAUCUCAUGCCAUUUCUUAUGUUGGAAAGGAAGAAUGCGGCAAAAAGAGAAAAAUGAUACAUCCUCCAUUUUUUUGGGGGGGUCGGGAUUUGGGCACUUAAAAUUUGAUCAUCUCUUCUGAAUGUCAUUAUUUGAUAACAUUUUAUUUAUGUUACGUAAAUAUCAUCAUUGGAUCAGUUGGAACUCCAUGGAUUUAACUGUGGAUUCAGCUUCCAUUGGACAACUAGCUUCAUCUCCAGAUUUCCUGCUGGUUCAGUCUAAGUGGCCAUUCCUAAUGCAUUAGAUUAUCAAAAAGUAUGACUUCUGUGAGUGAGUGGUGUUGGCGGUGUUUGUAUACCAAGAUGCAUGGAGAGUUUGUCAAAGAAACUAAAACACCAAAAAUGGCGAGCCUUUACCCUCCUCUGUUUCUUUAAUCCGCUCUUGGAAGAACCACAUUUUGAUGGUGUAACCAGUAGUUACCUCUGGGCCAGGUUGGAAAUGAAAUCAAUUUUUUAAACCACUAAUACUUGCCAAGAAAUCGCCUUAUGAGAACGUGGUGUGUGUCUCUGACAAUGCAUGGUGCAUCUAAAUUGAUCAUUCAUAAUUUUAUCUGCCCUGUUUUCAUAUUGGAGAGUGGCAAAAGCCUGAGGCCCCUGCACAUUUCUGUUCCAUAUGUCCCCUGCAUCCCCACGGCUGGGAUGUGAGCAAGCCUCCGACUCUUACCAUUCCCAUACGUGCAGGUCUCCAUGAAGAUGCUGGGACUCAUACACUUUUUAAGAUCCACAUGCUGUGCAACAGUGUAAGCUGAGACGUGUAAAUGAAAGGUCAUUUCUCAAUUUUCUUUUAAAAUGUCUCCAACAUAGAUUCCAAAGCAUUUUCAGCAUCAAACAUGAAAACAUUGAUGAAUGAGGAAUAAUCACAAAAGCUGUGUAUCUGUAUAUAGCUCUACACAACACGUUUGUGGGUACAGUCAUUAUUUAAAGCACAUGCCAGGGGAAAAGACCAAAUUUUGAGGUCUUGUACAUACAGUGACAUGGUACUAAGGAGAAUUAAACUCCUACUGCUUCCUCUGAAGAUUAAAAAUAAUAAUAAUAAAGUGUUAUAAUGUCAUAAAACUCAUGACCAAGUCUGGCAAACAUGUGCAACUCUUGUAUUGAUCCAUUUUCCUGUCAGUGGAAGAAACCCUUCCACGUGUAUGCAAGUGGGAGAUGAAAAUCUGCAUUUUUAAAGGACAAACAGUGAAUUUAAGCAUGAGUGGCCUUAAUAAAUAUAGUUGUCUUUCUUUGCUGCUGUGGAAAGGAUUCUAAACAGAUAUUCCUGAAGUCUUGCAUUGAAUUCAGUCAUUAUUAUUGCUUUUUAAAAUGUUGGUGCAAUUAACUCUGGACCUCUCCCGUGAGCCAUAGCGAUAUUUAAAAGACAGACAUCUUAUUUUUCAGGAAAGACAAAGCUGUGUAUGAGUUGCACUGUUUAUCCUUGGUGCAUUACGAUAAUAUAGUUCAAGCAGGUCUCUUGCUUCUGGCUUUGUUCUUGUCGUAAGUAUAGCAAGCUAUGUAAAGCUUCUGUGUUGCGUAGACCAUCCAAAUACAUUUGUGUUUAAAAGUUUGUCCUUUAAUUAUCAAAGGGGUGUAGGUCUUGACUGGAAAAAUGAGCAGAGUUCUUUGCAAGCAUAUUGAGCACAUUUUUGACACAAUGUCACACUGAAAACCCAGGCCACAAAGGUGCCCCCAUGACAGUUUGGGUGUCCUCAAACAGGCAGCCCUUACUGCCUCCUACAGCCAAGUCCUGACCCGAACUCUGCAACUCGAUACUUGAAGUAGGAAGUAGGAAAUCCACUAGGGAAAAUAGGGUCCUCAAAACAGAAAAAAGUGACCAACUGUGUAUAGUUAGCUAUUUCUAAGUAUGUGCCAAUUUUGUCACUGCUAUUGUUUGGGGGAUCAUUUUUUUUGCCCCACUUUUGUUGGUUAGAAAUAUUGUUGAUCUUACCUUUAUGGGGGCAUAUCAUUUCGUCCCUGAAAAAUUAAAUUCUAACAUAGUACCUUUUUCCAUUUCAUGUAAUAUUCUCUGAUGUUUGGGGGUUACGUAAAAUUCCCUUUUCAUCUAUUAAAAAUAGUCUCUGGGUUUACAACAAACACUGUGAUGUUGGGACGAUAUUUCCUUCGCUCAAACUUGAGCAGAUUCCCCUUAAAUCAUAAUGAAGUUGAGAAAAAAAAAAGACGUUGAGGCUAACAUUUGGGAGAAGUUAGUGUUCUUGCUUAGUGCAAAAGCAGGCUUAUACUUUAUACCCGACUUGAUUUCGAUGUACAGUCUCGAUUUUGUAUUUAAUGAUUUUUUGUGUAUCCAGUAUGCACGUUAACAGCGUGUCAACUUUCAUUUGAAAGUGGGUUUCAAUUUACUUGUUAAACAGUGUUUAUGACAAGACCUCAAAUGUGUUGACAUAAGCUCUAUCUGAGAUGUUUUUGUGUCGAGUGGCGUUUGAAUGCUGCCAGGGGUCAGUGUAUCUAAUUCCCAGAGACCCUCGUUUGAUAGUGCUUCUUGUAAUAUUUCUUCAAGUGAGUGGCAUGUGGGUUGUGAUAUUGACCAUGUGAUUAUGGACUUCGAUAUGAAAAAAAACAAAAAACUAAGGAACCCUCAGAAACUACCAGUGGGCAUGUAUUAGCCAGUCAUUGUAACCUCGUGUCUAGUAGAAGUACGAUGUACAAGGUAUGUACAGUUCAUAAAUUUGUUAUCCUGUGUAUGAGAAGUUCUUUGUGCUGGUCACCUUAUUUAUAUUCAUCAAAUAAACUCUGUUUCUUUCUGAA